ACAACUCCUUAUCAAUCUCGACUUCUUUUAAUAUGAACAACAAUUCAACCUAUUUAAUUGACUAGUAUAUAACAAUAUGGAACAAAGAAAUAUAUUGGUACUAGAUUGACCUAAGUCUUUCUAUUUAUACAACAGGAAUUCAAACAGAAUUGAAGGAAAAUGAUGUGAUAAGACAGAACAAAAUUUUAUUUGAAUUCCAAGUUUUAAUAGAAAUUUUUUAUU
This 222-nucleotide long non-coding RNA is filed under the name Nicotiana benthamiana. RNAcentral describes it as "long non-coding RNA (NBEN_LNC035559)". The record is from RNAcentral. Lineage: Eukaryota; Viridiplantae; Streptophyta; Magnoliopsida; Solanales; Solanaceae.